UUUUAAGUGGACACACACAACAAGCAAUAAUCUUGUUCAUUUUACUCUGUUUAAAUAAAACUGCCUCCCCAUGGAAAAAGCAUGGGAAACCCCGUAUCAAAUUAGUGUACCAAAGCCUCAUUGCGGUAGGAAACAACUCUUUGGAGCGUUAUGUUCACCUCGUGUGUAAAAAGUUUUAACGGGUUGUUUUUUCUACCCAAACGCUGGGUUGCCGCUCUUGGGUAAUUGUUCUGGGUUAUUUACAGAGAGUUGGGUAGUUUUUGUGUAACCCAGCUGCUGGGUUGAAGUUUGCUUGACUCCCCCCCAAAGUUCACCGGUGGAUUCAGCGGCUGUCAGUCAGAGCUUCAUGUCUCUCUUCAGCUCCCACACCGCUGAUGACGGUUCAUCCUCCUCGGGCAUUUAAGGGGAAAUGGCGUUAAAUACAAGGUUGGAACCAACAUGGUGAAAUACCUCCAGCAGGCUGAAGGGUCAAGGCCGUACCCCUACAUCCUGACGUUGGGAGAAAAUGACCAGCGCUGCUCUUAGGCAUUCGUCAUUCUGGUGGGACAGGCUCUGGAGCAAUGCACACUACUUGGGGCGGUUGAUGUGUGCUUAAAGGCAUUUUAUAUUUUUGACAUUAACUAUCCAAAGGAGUGUGCACCUGUAUAGGACUUUUUGUAAUGUUGCUAUGAAAUAGCGAGGCCUACUUGAAAAGUCAUAGACAGUGUUUGUAUGUUAAAAUGAGACCAGGGCUGGAUAGUUUUGUUCUGCAAAAAAGAUAUUUGGAGUCACAGAGAUCCUGCUCUGUAGAAGCUGCCUCAGCCUAUUUGUGCAAUUACUCCAUUCUGCCCUUGUGAGUAAUAGUAUGGUAAUGAUGUUGCUGUUGAUUAUCUGUUCUUGUGCUUUUGAAAAAUAAAUAUUUUUUCUAGGAACA
Molecule: long non-coding RNA, 913 nt
Organism: Clarias gariepinus (North African catfish)
Lineage: Eukaryota; Metazoa; Chordata; Actinopteri; Siluriformes; Clariidae
Exons: 2
Source: RefSeq, a predicted model, not a curated record